This is a long non-coding RNA of Cephus cinctus (wheat stem sawfly), 1171 nucleotides long. RefSeq lists it as uncharacterized. NCBI's taxonomy places the organism in Eukaryota, Metazoa, Arthropoda, Insecta, Hymenoptera, Cephidae. The record is from RefSeq and is a predicted model, not a curated record. The transcript is spliced from 3 exons.
UUCUCCGGCCCUUACGCCCACUUGCUUCGAGCAGGUAUUGUUGCUAUCGUUGCAGCGAAAGAAAGUUUCUUCUUUCAUGAGCCACAGGACUUGCUGGAUAUUUUACUAUCGGAAUCUUCGUCACUUUUCUGCUUCAAUCAUUUAACGCUUGUAGCAAUGCAUCAUUGCGAGUUUUAAGGUAUCAGCUUUGUUUCUUUAACUUCCUUUCUACUUUUAUCUACUAAUUCUUAUGCUUCUUCUUCCUCCUCUUACACGGUAUUUCCGAAAACGUCAUUCAUGAGGCGCGGCAUCGUACUACGCACAGAGGUUACGCAUCGCUCGCUUAUGAAUGGUUUUACCGUAUUGAGAGCUGCGAACCCUUUAUAGUUAUCAUCUGAUCUGUGUGGAAGAAAUUGUUAGUAAUUAUUAUUCAUUUUUAAACUGCAUGAAUCCGCUACUAUUUGGUUUACUUUAGUAACAUUUGUAGGUUAUGGGGACAACUGUUUUUUGGAGACAGAUAUGAGAAACGUUUAGUGUUUUGCAACGGCGUAUUCUUAUUGAUACUGAUCUUUUAAGCGAUUCAAGAAUUGCAGCUUUGGCUGCGUGACGAUUGUGCUGUAAACGAGGACACGAGAUAAGGUGAGAAAUAAGUCGUGGGCUUUGGGACUUGCUAACGAAAUGUGUCUCGUUAACGGGAAUCCUUUCACGUUGUAUUUUUGAUGUUUUUCGGGUUAUCAAAUUUUACCGCUUUUUAAAAAAUCUCAAAUAUGGCAGUCUGACGGGUUCAGGUUCUGCAGAUCGAAAUUUCUUAAUGAAAUCUUUUUGGUAAGUGGAAAUCGGUCCUGGUCAUUACGAAAUCACGUUGAACCGGGCCCUUACGCCUACACGAGCGAUGCCGACGUUACUGCAGCCAAAGAAAGUUCAACUUCUUUCUCAGGCGAAGGGCGUGCAUAACAUAUCAAGUCAAAACCCGAUUUCUAAUAGCUUCCUGCUCUAAAUCACGCCCUUGGGCUUACUCGAAGUUUGGAGUUUACGUGGGACAUAGAAAACAGGUAAAGGCUACGUACAGUUUUAUGUGUUCGUACGUCUCAGCCAGGUUGACGCGUAGCGAUUCAAAUAAUCAAUUAUAAUAUAUAUAGCUUUUCUAUACCACAUAUGUCAUAAUGAAAAUUUUUUUAAUAAUAAACGUAUA